Molecule: ribosomal RNA, 1020 nt
Filed under: Bacillus sp. BMT8
Lineage: Bacteria; Bacillati; Bacillota; Bacilli; Caryophanales; Bacillaceae
Description: bacterial SSU rRNA
Rfam family: Bacterial small subunit ribosomal RNA
Source: RNAcentral
CACUGCAAGUCGAGCGAACUGAUUAGAAGCUUGCUUCUAUGACGUUAGCGGCGGACGGGUGAGUAACACGUGGGCAACCUGCCUGUAAGACUGGGAUAACUUCGGGAAACCGAAGCUAAUACCGGAUAGGAUCUUCUCCUUCAUGGGAGAUGAUUGAAAGAUGGUUUCGGCUAUCACUUACAGAUGGGCCCGCGGUGCAUUAGCUAGUUGGUGAGGUAACGGCUCACCAAGGCAACGAUGCAUAGCCGACCUGAGAGGGUGAUCGGCCACACUGGGACUGAGACACGGCCCAGACUCCUACGGGAGGCAGCAGUAGGGAAUCUUCCGCAAUGGACGAAAGUCUGACGGAGCAACGCCGCGUGAGUGAUGAAGGCUUUCGGGUCGUAAAACUCUGUUGUUAGGGAAGAACAAGUACAAGAGUAACUGCUUGUACCUUGACGGUACCUAACCAGAAAGCCACGGCUAACUACGUGCCAGCAGCCGCGGUAAUACGUAGGUGGCAAGCGUUAUCCGGAAUUAUUGGGCGUAAAGCGCGCGCAGGCGGUUUCUUAAGUCUGAUGUGAAAGCCCACGGCUCAACCGUGGAGGGUCAUUGGAAACUGGGGAACUUGAGUGCAGAAGAGAAAAGCGGAAUUCCACGUGUAGCGGUGAAAUGCGUAGAGAUGUGGAGGAACACCAGUGGCGAAGGCGGCUUUUUGGUCUGUAACUGACGCUGAGGCGCGAAAGCGUGGGGAGCAAACAGGAUUAGAUACCCUGGUAGUCCACGCCGUAAACGAUGAGUGCUAAGUGUUAGAGGGUUUCCGCCCUUUAUGCUGCAGCUAACGCAUUAAGCACUCCGCCUGGGGAGUACGGUCGCAAGACUGAAACUCAAAGGAAUUGACGGGGGCCCGCACAAGCGGUGGAGCAUGUGGGUUUAUUCGAAGCAACGCGAAGAACCUUACCAGGUCUUGACUCCUCUGACAACUCUAGAGAUAGAGCGUUCCCCUUCGGGGGACAGAGUGACAGGUGGUGCAUGUCGUCA